CCGCCUGGCCUUCUCCAGUCCCCUGGCCCACGAUGGAGACCCUCAGGAUACUUGUGGAAACUGGGCAGACAUGGUGGGCUGCCGGGCCCUGGGCUGGAAUGGUGGGGGGGGGGGGCUUUCUAACGAGCUGCCUCUUAGCAGGGUGGGAGAGAAUUCUGGGUGGCCUGUGACAGCAUAAUAACCCCACAUCACUCAGCGACAGGACCGAGGCCUUCAGCUCCUGCUGGGGCGAUGGGCAGGGCCCCACCCCCUUCCUCCCAGGGCACCGGAGCCAGUGGCUGCGCGGGUGGGUCAGCCUGGAAGACCCGGGGCGGGAGAGAGGAGCCGGCCCAGGACGUGUCCCCAGCGGCUGGACGAGAGGCUGUGUGCUCGGGCCCCGACGCCAACUCGGAAACACUGCAGAGGAGCAGCAGCUCAAGACGCCUGAGCCCCAGGAGUCCCGGGCCUGCUUCCCGGGCCCUGCACUCCCAGGGCUGCCCCCCAGCCUGGCCCACCUGCAGUGGGCGUCCUGUCACCUCGACGACCCCGGCCGGCGGAGUGGUGGAGAGGGUGUGGACUCUGCAGCCGGCUGGCUCUGAGCUGGGCAUGGUCCCCCGGAGCAGAGCUCCUUCAAAUCCCCGCUCCGCCCCCAGCCAGCUGAGUAACCUCGGGCGACCAGAGACCCCACCCUGCCCCUGCCCCCCCGGGGAUUGUGAGCAGCUGGACGCCCCGAGGAAGCAAAAGGCAGAAUGGAGGGCCUCCUGCCUGUCCGGGGGAAGCAGAGAGGCCUGGACAAGGCUGCGGAGGGGCAGGGCGGCAGGGCACAGGGCGAGGUCCUGA
This 819-nucleotide long non-coding RNA is filed under the name Felis catus (domestic cat). RNAcentral describes it as "lncRNA (ENSFCAG00000049944.1)". Lineage: Eukaryota; Metazoa; Chordata; Mammalia; Carnivora; Felidae. The record is from RNAcentral.